GACGAACGCUGGCGGCGUGCCUAAUACAUGCAAGUAGAACGCUUAAGAGAGGAGCUUGCUCUUCUUGGCUGAGUUGCGAACGGGUGAGUAACGCGUAGGUAACCUGCCUUGUAGCGGGGGUUAACUAUUGGAAACGAUAGCUAAUACCGCAUAACAAUGGAUGACCCAUGUCAUUUAUUUGAAAGGGGCAAAUUCUCCACUACAAGAUGUACCUGCGUUGUAUUAGCUAGUAGGUGAGGUAACGGCUCACCUACGCGACGAUACAUAGCCGACCUGAGAGGGUGAUCGGCCAAACUGGGACUGGGAGACGGCCCAGACUACCACGGGAGGGAGCAGGAGGGAAACAUCGGCAAAGGGGGCAACACAGAACGAGCAACGCAGGGUGAGUGAAGAAGGGUUUCGGAUAGUAAAGCACGGUUGUAAGUCGAGAACGGGUGUGAGAGUGGAAAGUGCAAACUGAGACGAUAGCUGACCAGAAAGGGACGGCUAACUACGUG
This 497-nucleotide ribosomal RNA is filed under the name uncultured bacterium. Its description in RNAcentral is "partial 16S ribosomal RNA". It matches the Rfam family "Bacterial small subunit ribosomal RNA", at positions 28 to 507 of the family's 1533-position model. The record is from RNAcentral.